GAUUUGUCUUCUUGUCUCAAUAAGUGUAAGAAGUGGGUAGAGGAUGGAAAGGGAGAAGAAAGGAUUAAAGUUAAGCCUGAAUGUUUCAUUCUCCACCUUAACAUGACCGCAUCUACUAAUAGCCAAUAAAAUGAAUUGGCCUCUCUACUGGGCUGCUUGACCUUCCUCAUGACAUGGCAGUUGGUUUUUCCCAGAGCAGAUAAGAACAACCAUGAUUCAAUAUGUGAGUAGGCUAUACAGGAGACAGGAACCAUUGGGAGCCAUUUUGAACACUCUCUACUACAGGAUCAAAAGCAAAUAAUUACAAAACAGUACAUCAAUGCAACAAUGGCAUUAUAUGUAAGAAUUUUGGAGGGAAAUCACGAGAAAACUGAAGACAUCUGUCCACCAAGAAAAGCACAAAAGCUAUAAACUGAAGAUAGAUAUAUUUUCAACUAACUGCAGUCUUCAAACAUCCUCAUGGAAUGAUCUGCUUGAAAACCACACCCACAGAGUCUUAUAAAUAUUUUAUCUGCUUUUGACCUCUUCAAUCAGUCUCUGCAAGAUUUUGUUAAGAUUGUGAUCUUCUUUGUUAUGGGUGAUACCGGCCUCAGGAAAUAAGUAUGGAAAUGUUCUCUCUUUUUAUCUAUUUGGAACACUUUCAAAAAUAAUAAAAUAUUGAGGAAUAAAUACAACCAAAGAAGAGAAAGACUUCUGUAUUUCACACUACAUAUUGACAAAAGAAAUGUUAAAAGACAAAGAUAACUGAAAGGGCAUCUCAUGUUCAUGGAUUUGAAGAAUACCAUUAAAAUGCCCAUUACUUUCAAAGCAA
Homo sapiens (human) is the source of this 811-nucleotide long non-coding RNA. Ensembl annotates it as long intergenic non-protein coding RNA 2378. The record is from Ensembl. Lineage: Eukaryota; Metazoa; Chordata; Mammalia; Primates; Hominidae.